RNAcentral lists this ribosomal RNA (315 nucleotides) under Triticum aestivum (bread wheat). RNAcentral's name for it is "partial small subunit ribosomal RNA". Lineage: Eukaryota; Viridiplantae; Streptophyta; Magnoliopsida; Poales; Poaceae. The record is from RNAcentral.
AUGGCGGCGAAGGCGGAGACGGCCGCCGCCGGGAGGCCGGAGUCGAGGCGGUCUCUGAUGGCGGCGUUCCAUUGGGGGGCGGUGGCGCAGGCGGAGGUGGCCGGAGGCGGUGAGCCGGGGAGGAGGAGGCUGCUGCGCGGGGCUAUCAGCAGAGCGGGUGUUGGGCGAAAUGCAGAAAAGGAACAUGGAGGCAUCUUGGCCCGACUGCAACAAGCCCGCCGUCCAGUUCGUCCCCGCCGGCACGCUGCUCCAGCAGCCGGGCAAGGACGGGGAGAUGGAGCAGGUUGCGGGAGCACGCCAGCGUGUCACGCCUAA